CUUAAAUGGUGAUUAAGCCCAGCUGGGGAAAGGACCGGAGCGUGUGGAAAGCUCUCCAGGCAGGGAGGAGGCCUGACGCCACAGCGGGCCUGGCAGGCUCCCUGCUAGCCACUGCACUGCAGACCAUGUGGUUCCCGGGUCGGAAAAAGGAGCAGGAGCAGCUCCAGUGACUAGCACUGCUCGAGCUCUCAGCAGGUGGUUGUUGAUGGGUUGCUGGUGCACGCUUCUCCCACUGUUGCCUGGCCCUUUUCUCCUCGUGUGGCUGGGCUCAAGAUGCGGCAUGUGCCCUUCAGCGAUCCACAGUCUGUUGCCCCAUCACUGGCACCCAGGAGUUGGAGGAACUAAGAACGUCUGCCUUCAGUGGUCCACAGCAGGAAAGAAGAAGAAGAACAGAAAAGUUCAGCUCAGAAAUCAACAAUACAAAAUCCCGAAGAGCAUAGAAAACAACAGAGGCAAGAAAACAAAACCACCCAUCCAAGUUGAAUUAUCCUUGACCUAGGGAAAUAGCUUUAUCUCAGUGAUGAACUCCUAUGCUGCUGCCUAACGCAUGUUAGAAAUAUUGUUAUAAAUACUCAGU
Long non-coding RNA from Mauremys reevesii (Reeves's turtle), 577 nucleotides. RefSeq lists it as uncharacterized. NCBI's taxonomy places the organism in Eukaryota, Metazoa, Chordata, Testudines, Geoemydidae. The transcript is spliced from 3 exons. The record is from RefSeq and is a predicted model, not a curated record.